Molecule: long non-coding RNA, 426 nt
Filed under: Mus musculus (house mouse)
Lineage: Eukaryota; Metazoa; Chordata; Mammalia; Rodentia; Muridae
Description: elncRNA-EC25
Source: RNAcentral
CCUUGUUUGCCUUGAUAAGGAGGAGUUUGGUCAUCACCCCUGAGACAAUAGUAACUUAUGGUGGAUUUGCCGGCAGUGGAAGGGGAUUCUUGUUUAUUCUUAAAACAGUGUAGAGCGAAAACUGAAGACAAUCUCUCGAAGUAGACUGCCAGGCAAGGUAAAGGCCCAAGGUAAAAAUCCACAGGGUCAGAGAUGUACUUCUGUGAUGAAAAGGUUGCUUGGUAUGCAAAGACUCUGGAUUGGAGCCUCAAUAUUGCCCACAACAACAACUACGACUACAAAAAUAAAUGAAUAACUGAAAUUAAAUUGAAAGUGAGGAGAAGAAGAGCCCUCUAAUUCCAGCACUGGGGAGGCCGAGGCAUACGUUUUUGAAGUUCAAGGCCAGCUUGGACUUCACAGCAAUACAGUCUCAAAUAUUAAACAGAG